CUCUUUUUCUCUUUUAUAAUAAGCCGCAAGUCAUCAUCAUGUAGCUGAAACAAUAAGCUUCAAAAUUCUCUUAAAUCGAUAACCAGGCUUUCAGAAAAGGCGCAAAGAGGGGAUGAUAAAGAAAGGCUGUUGUAUUCUGUAAACUCGUUCGUUAAAUAAUGAAAUAAUAUUGAAUGCGUCUGUGACGGAAUACAAAUAUUAUAGGUGGAUGCUAAGCCUAUAGCGUUUUUGGUUUGAACAUCUGCGUUAUUUGAGGGCUGCAGCAAAUCUCAUGAAUGUUUAAGAAUGAGGAUAUGUAGUCUUUGAAAAUGAGCAUAUUCUGCUUGAAAUGUUUGUGAAAUUGAAACAAGUUCCAGUAUUUAAACA
This is a long non-coding RNA of Erigeron canadensis, 366 nucleotides long. RefSeq lists it as uncharacterized. The transcript is spliced from 2 exons. NCBI's taxonomy places the organism in Eukaryota, Viridiplantae, Streptophyta, Magnoliopsida, Asterales, Asteraceae. The record is from RefSeq and is a predicted model, not a curated record.